RNAcentral lists this small RNA (994 nucleotides) under Rattus norvegicus (Norway rat). Its description in RNAcentral is "uncharacterized LOC102546620". Lineage: Eukaryota; Metazoa; Chordata; Mammalia; Rodentia; Muridae. The record is from RNAcentral.
GCGGGCCCUCGAAGGCCCAGGCCAGUCGUGCCCUGGCAGCGGGCGAAGCCACGUGGACUGGGCUGAGCUAGGCCAUGGUGCUCAUCUGCCAUCGCAGGCCUAGAACUGUAGGCAUGCAGCAGUGAGUUCCGGCCUUCGGUGUGCGAGGGUUAAAGGGCAUGGAAGAGUGAACCUGUGAGGAAAAGGAAUUCAGUUUCCAUAAUGUUACCACAUUGUUUUUUGAAAGUACUCAGGGAAGGAGGCCCUUAGAGCUGGGGCUGCAGAACGGACUUCAGAGGCCUAGAAGCAGGAGAGGUGCAAGAUCCAUCAGAACAAGAGAGGGGUAACACAGCAGGAGCUGGGGACAGAACCCAGGGCCUUGCGCCUGCUAGGCAAGCGCUCUACCACUGAGCUAAAUCCCCAAGCCCCGGAAUUUUUGAUUCUUGGUUGGUGAGAAACUUCAGUAGACUCUGGAGUCCUUUUCCCUCCCAUGCUCCAUAUCUGGCUUCACUAGAAUACUGACCUGUCUCUGCUCUCUUGACUCACUCUCCACACCUCCCUAUUGUUUCUUAGAGCUUUGCUUCCACUAACCGAUAAUGAAUGUUUCAUACCUCUCUUACAUGCUGUGUAUUCAACUCUGGGGACACUCAUAGUACUCACUUUCCUUAUGUGAGGUCAUGCUGGACACCAACCCCUUAUUGAUUGUAAUGGAUAGCAUUUUCCAGCUUCCAUCCAACAAUACUUUUGUCUUUGCCCAUGCAGUUUGGAGGCAGAAUUAAUUCUAUCCUCCCAAACAGCUCCAAAUUGGUCCCUGUAGGGCUUGAAGUGAGUAUUAACUACCAGGAGACUUCCCAAGUGAGACACAAGAACAGAGUUCAAUGCAAACACAAGAGGCUUAUUUUCCAGUGAGUCGGGGUCGACCUUCAAUCAGCUCCUCAUGGGGAGUGACUAGAAGGUAACCCUGAGAGGUUAUAACAAGCAGUUUUUAUACUUCUUAGAGGUACAGGUUACAUCA